This 454-nucleotide ribosomal RNA is filed under the name uncultured Oomycota. RNAcentral describes it as "LSU rRNA". It matches the Rfam family "Eukaryotic large subunit ribosomal RNA", at positions 326 to 629 of the family's 3401-position model. The record is from RNAcentral. Lineage: Eukaryota; Oomycota.
GUGCGAGACCGAUAGCGAACAAGUACCGUGAGGAAAAGAUGAAAAGAACUUUGAAAAGAGAGUUAAAGAGUACCUGAAACUGCUGAAAGGGAACCGAAUCGUAUCCAGUGUCUAUAAUCCAUGGCAUAUUUCAUUGGCGAGUGAGUGCGUGCAGCGUUUUGGAAGUGGUUUUCCGCUCCUGUCGUUGUUGUGCAUUUGCUUGCUGGUGCCCUGUGCUGUGGUGGGACGUCAGAGUCAGUUUGUGUGUCGCGGGAAAUGGUUAUUGGGGAGGUAGGUCGCUUCGGUGGCUAUUAUAUCCUGGUAACUAGUCGUCGUGGCUGAGACUGAGGUGCCUACAAUGUGCUUUCGAGUGUGCGGGUUUCUCGUGUGGCUGUUUGCUUUGAUAGCUUGCUAUGUUGGUGAAUAAGUUGUGCGAUUGAGACCUGUAUUAACUUGUUGCUGUUCGGGACUUUGA